AUUGACAAAAAUAAAAUGCAAAAUGAAAGUUAUCAAUUUUAUGUCUAGGUGGAGUCGCAACCUAGGCGAUGCAUAGGCAGGUUUAGGAGGGCUAAGUGGGCGCCUAGGCGGACACCUAAGCGGGUUUAGGCACACUUUCUUAAUUUUAAAACGCCUAGGGACUAAUUGGGACGGUAACCAGUUGCCUAGUGUAUAAGCAGGAAUUUUCAGAAUAGUGGCUCCAACUACAAGUUCUACUUAUUUUAAUUAAAAGGGUUCUUCACAAAUAAGCUCCCUCAAAAACUAUGUUAGGUCAAAGGCACUUAAAUCUCCUUGCACUAUACACUAAAUAAGCAUAACACCAUAAAUCGAGCUGGUGCACUACUACUGAGGCCAUACUUAAAAACCAAAAUCCCGGACUGGAAAUUUCCAAAAAAAAAAAAAAAAAAAAAAAUCCCGGACUGAAAUUCGUGAUAAGAACACCGGCCAAAGAAAUAUUUUUUUUACAAACAAAGGGUAUCAAAAGCAAAGAAAUGAAUCAUACGUUGACGAAGCAAUCGUGAAAGUGAAGCCGAGUGAGGCUGGCAGUAAUCCGGGGAUCGGUCUGCAGAGCCUCUUCAAUGACUCCACGCACAAUGGUGGUGGCAUUCGGGCAUGAUUCAUCAUAAAACGUAGGAGUCAACUGAGCAUCACCACAUCCUGCACUUGCACACAAGAUUAGUAACACUGCCAAAACAUAUUUGUAAUACAAUUGAGCACUAUAAGGAGGCAUUUUUCUCAGGUGGUGUUCGAUUUUUCUAACAUAUGUUGAUCAAUGCAUAUGUGAGCCAAACGGUAUAGGUCUAUUUAUUGAGUGACAGAGUGAACUGGUAGAUGAGAAACCCGCGUUAGGUAGAUGUCAAAUUAGGUUUAUUUUUUUGGUAAAAAGUUCAAAUUAACUUAAAUAAAUAAAAAUCGAAGCCCUUUUCUCCCUUUUCUCCCUUUUUCUUCUUUACGUGAAGUGAACCAUGAUGAUAUACUGGAAUCCAGAAUGUGGGUCCCUGGAUGCAAUAUAAUCUGUCAUAUGGAGUAUCUGUGGAGUAUGAUUUUCUCUCCUCUUAUUCUCAUCUUAUUCCUUCUCCUUCUCUCACAUAUUGUUUUUUGUCUUAUUGUCUUUAUAAAAAAAUCAAUAUAAAAUGUUGACGUGAUUAAACCGUAACCAUUCAAAUAAAAGAAAAGGAAAAGGGAGAGAGAUUAGGAGGGAGGGAAUCCUCCUCCUAAAUGUUACUACCCUUCCCGCGAAAAAAGGUGAGGUUUCAAUCCAAAAGUUAGUUAAUAAUUAGAAGUGUCCCGAACUUGAAGUGUGUUUAGAUAAUAAGUUUUUUAAUUCGAUCAAUAUGGUAUCUUGAUUAAAAUUCAAAGUCCAAAUUAGAAAACAAUGUAUAAUAAUCACCGCAAGAAAACGAGACAAUAAUUGUAAAUUCUCUUUUCUUAUAAAAAAUAGGAAAAAGAGAGAAGAAUAACAUUAGUUGAAUGGGCGGAUGAAUAAACUAAUGAGUUGAAUAAAAGAAGAGAUAGUGCUAUUCACACUUUUGUUUUUAUUUUUCACACAUUCUUCGUAAUUUUCGGUUGUCAGAUCAAAUAAAUUGAAGAAUAUCACUAAUAAAAAACUAACACGGGUGUGCAAAUGUAAAAAUAAGUGUGUGAAUAGUACUUUCAUAAAAGAAGUAUCAGAUAUAUCAUGGCUUUGUUAAUUACACAAAGACAUACCUAAUUAUAACAUCUCUAGAAAUUUAGGACUUGUUUGGAAUUUUUUUUAAAAAUGACUGAAAAUAGUUUUAGAAAAAAAUAUUUUUGAGUUUCAAAACAACUUGAAGUGUUGCUUCUUGGGUUUAUUUAUAGAAAUUAUACCUAUACCAAAAUUGGGUUGAAAAACGUUAUUCACCAAAAGUGUUUUGACAAAAAUACCCUUUGUUUUUCUUUCCAUUCCUGCUUUGUUUUAUAAUGUGGAACAUGUUGUAAAAUCGACAGUGGGUGCAGUGGAAUAAAUGAAACAAGACACAAAAUUUACGAGAUUCCUCUACAGUCAGUGUGACUGGAGUACGUCCUCGGGACAGCAGUGGUGCUUUCAUUAUAAUUUAGAAUAAUAGGAGUACAAAGAUAACUCUCUCUAUUAUCUCCUCUCCUCUUCCUCUCCUUUCUCUCUUCCUCUCAUUUUCUCUCAUCCUUUCUUUCUUCCUAUCUCUCCGUGAGUCUUCCCACUUUGAUGUUGUGUGAGGUUUGUAUUUAUAUAGAAAAUAGGAGUAGUGUGUAGCAAGCUUCAGCAACCAAAAUGAAGGGCCAAUUAUUUAAUUUUUUAAAUGGACAUCCACUGUUCUACAACACUCCCCAUUGGAUGGCCAUAAGUCUUCGAUUGACUCGUUAAAAUCUGGAUCUGUUUUGAAUGCUUCCCCUGAUGAGUAUCUCCCCUGAUUUCAAAUCAUUUAGGCUGAUCGUUGAUCAUUCUGCUUCAGUCUCUUAGCAAAAAGAGUUUCCAAAAGAAGUGCUUUACUUGUUGUUAACUUUCCACAGGCUUGUUCUUGAACUGGGCUGAAGGGCCUUCUGUUAGACUUCCUCCAAAUGUUUGAAUUUACUUUUUUUAUUUGGAGCUAAAUUUAAUUCAAAUGUGGUGGACACUUGAUCUUGAAUCGGACUUGUGAUUUCUUCAAGGACUUCGAAACUUGAUCUUGAAUGAAGUUAUACCGUGAGAAGCUUCAUGUGGCAAAUGAUCUUCGGCUUUGUCGGGGAUGAAUUAGCACGUGUUUGUUGCGCUUGUCUCCACAUACUUCAAUGUAUCAUUUUCACUUGCCUUACUUGUUCCCCUUGCUUAAGUAGUAUUUUCCCUGGUUUUCCCCUAUGCAUGUGUGGCAUAUUCUCCUGUAGUAUUUGCCUUUUGAUGCAGGAGUGGAAUGCAACCCUUGCAUUUGGAUGGUUCAUCACUUCUUGGUGACUGGAGACCCAGCUCCAACAACAGUUGAAGAUGGCUACUCGAGAGCAAUACUAGGUAAGCAAUUAGGAAAUGUUUCAGGCAGUCGGUUCCUUACCGGGAGUUGGAGUGGAGGUUCCGACAUAUUUAUUUCUUUAUCCUUGUCUUUGCAGGUAAGAACAAGGACAAAGGAAAGGACAAAGAUAUUGCAUGAUAUGAGACACUCUUACUCUCGUCCAUGAAGAUAUGAGAUACUCUUGUUUCGGUGUGACUUGUUUAAAGAGGUAUUCUCGGAGAGGAAGAAAACUGAGUAUUUCGAGAUGCUUUAUUGAAGAUGCAUUCUCGGAGAUGAGAGAAAGUUAGGAGUUUUGGAUGUGUGCCUUGCCAUGGACGAUGAAGGUCGACUUAUAUAGGGAUUUCCCCAAUAGCAGGUAGUGGUGUUGUGCCUUUACUCUUGUCAGCAACUGUGGUGUAAUUAGAACAGUAAGAUUUACGCGUUUUCAACUUUGUCAGAGAUCUUUGACAAAGUUGCACGCGAUAGCAGAAAAAGCUGAGAUUGUGUCUGAAAAAUACCAACGAACUUUAUUCAGGAAAAUCUGGCUUUUGAAAUUCGGAUAGCAGUGCCUCUUCGAUCUCUGAACAAGUAGUUCUGUUGCCUCUUCUUUUAUCGAGAUAUCAAUUAUGUUCAAGAGUAUGCUCAGAAAGUUGCUGCCUGUAGAAAUUUUCCCCUUCUUGCACUUCUGAGAUUUUAUUUAACCUCUUUUGUUUUUCAUCAUUUCUGAAAAUGGCUUACCCAUCUAACAUUUGCUUAGAUUUGAGUCUUAGGAGUGAUACAGACGAGCAGCGUCAGGAUAACAUAUGGCGCCCGUCCUUCUUAUCUUCUAAUGGUCCUCUUACAAUUGUAGACUCUGUGAUGAAGAAUAACAUAACCGCUACUGUGGUAGCUAGGAAUUUUCUCACUCCAAGGGAUAAUAGAAUCAUUUCAAAACGAUCUGAUGAGUCGGCCAUUCAAGACUCUUUAGCUCUCAGUGUUCAGUGUGCUGGCUCUGUUUCUAAUAUGGGUCAACGCUUACUUGCUCAAACUCGCGAAGUUGAAUCAUUGAUGGCUGAGGUGGCAAGUCUUAAAUAAGAGAUUAGAGGGCUCAAGCACGAAAAUAGAGUGUUACACGUGCUUGCAAAUAAUUACUCUACGAGCAUGAAAAGAAAGCUCAACCAGCUGCAGGAAUCAAAAAGUCGAACUCAAAACAGUCACCAAAAGUUCGUUGCUAGAUUUCGAAAGUAACUGAUGUCUUCCCCUUUUGGUGUUUUGCCGAGUACUAGGGUGUCAUAUGAUCAAUCUCCAGUGCCUCCUCAUUAUGGGGUACUUCCGAGUACUGAGGCUUCACAUGAGCAACCUUUGUGAAGGCUUCAUCCUGUUUAUUUGUUUUGACUCAUGUGUAUGCACAUAUCUGUAAUUUCUCGGAGAUAUUAAUAGAUAAGCUUUAUUUCAUUCAGUGUAUUGUGCCAAAUACAAUAAAGCAUAUACUUCACUAAGAUGUGGUACUUUUGGACCAAACAUUAAUUUAUCUUUACCCUCACGAAGAUAAAUGAUCUUUCUUAGUGUUUACAUCAUUUGAGUAUUCAACUCAUAAUCUUUAAUCCAUAUGGUUCUUUUAAUAUCAUAGACAUCAUGGAUAAGAUUCGUGUUGGUAUAUUGUUUGAUCUGCAGCUCGAGACAAUAUUUCUCUCAACACUUUAUAAUCUUUCUUGACUCUUUAGGAGUCUCAAUUUAAUAUCAUCAACUCUUCAGGAGUUCUAAUUUAAUGUCAUUGACUCUUGCAAGAGAUUUUAGUAUGUUGCAACAAUAUCAUAAUGAUAGUACUCACUAAGGCAAUUUAUACCAUCCAUUGGUAUUGAGUACAUAAUUUAGGCUUUACCCUUCGGGGGCUUACUUCAAGCAAUUUGAAUCAUUCAGGGAUUUUCUACACUUUAUGACACAUUUUCCUUUGGAAUUUAUACAGUGCAAUUUGCUCCCAUGUAUACUUGAGGGAUUUACUUAUGGAGAUAUGAUGUGGGUGACUCACAACCCUUCGUAUAUAAUUCUCCAUUCAUAUGAACUCGUUUACAAGAGUAUAAUUAGUAACCUUGUGUCAUAUCAUGUAAGUGUAUUUCAUUGUAUUACAAAUGCUUAUAUGUAACCUUAUUGGUUCAACAUAUUUUGGCUAUUCAAAUAUAUAUAGGUCCAUUUUUCCACAUUCUUACAAAAUUGUAAUGGAAUCGCCUUUCUCCAUUUUUGGCCAAUAAUUUUGUUGACGAAAAAGAAUGAGACUCAAUAUCAACACAGCUCAUUGAUGAAUUUAGUAGCUACUUAUAAAAACCAAAAUUACCAUUGGUUAUCAUCAAUCCGUGAUCCCAUAUUCUCAUGUGCAUGCGCAUGCAUAAAAACUUUUCAUUUAUUUGGAUAUCCAUUGCCUCUCCAAGGGCAUUACACUAUCUAUUUCAGGAUAGUCAUAAUUUAGAGAAUGCGGAUCAUAACCUCUUCUUGAGCGUUAUAGAGCUUGAAUUUUAAUUUCCACUUCUAGGAGUUGAGUCAUUGGAACCUAUGCAUCUAUCAUGCUUCAUGCAUGAGACAUUAAUAUUCCCAUGUCCGUGGAUUGUCCUUUUUGGGACGUAUAUCCAUACGGCGACUGUCAUGCUUCUGGCAUGCAACAAUUAUGCUUCGGGAAUGCAAUAGUUCAAUAGUGCCAUAUUCUUCUUCUUUCGAAUGACUGAACGUUUUGAGUCUAAGGGUCUGCCAUGCUUCAGGCGUGCAACAGAUAAAUCAUUUAUCGCCUCAUUAUAUUGUCUAACAGGGACAUUAAUUCUUGUAGGCACAUUUGCAGCAAGUAUAUAUGAUUUUUUUAUCACUUUCGUUGCAUUAUUAAAAUGGCAUUUGGCAUUUGAAAACAUCGUUUGCAUCAUUCAAUUAUUCUUACUUCAUUUUCAUAUUGAUUGCUUCGUGAAUCAAAAUAAGACAAAUUUCUUUCUUCUGGAACGGUCUUUUCUUAUCAUUCUUCUGGAAUGAUAUUUUUUUCUCAUUCUUCUGGAACGAUAUAAUUUUCUCCCCUAGCGGGAAUAUUGUCUUAUCAAAAUGACAGUCUGCAAACCAUAAAAUAUCCCUAGUCAAGGUUUUUCCAAAUAUGAAUGAUAGAUGGUUAAUCAAAUUCAACAUAAAAUUCCCAGUUUGUAUCGAUGCCUUAUUUUAUACAUUAAAAUUUAAUAAUUUAUAACCAAAAACUCGAGUGUUUAAUGUUUGGCUAGUGCCUAAACACGAGUUGUACUAAGAAAUUUAAUUUGUAACUUAGUGUCAAAAUGCUUAAUAGUGAAUUCUUGUAAAUUUCGUUUUCAUGUCCAUAAGUAGAAAACUUGCAAUUUCGUUUCAUGAGCAGAGCGUGGGUAAUCAAUUUCAUCCGCUUAAUAAAAUGCUUCUACUAAACCAUUUUAAGUAUGGACAUAAGGAACUUCUGGUCCUAUUAAAUAGUUUGUGGAUUGAGACUUUUAUGACCUUUAUUACAAUUAAGUUGAGGCACUGCGGCACUUCAAACUUAAGGUAAUUAUCAAGAAACUUCAUGUCCGAUCUUGAGGAUCUAGGGAUUUCAUGCCUGAUCUUUUUGCAUGAUGGAACUUGGGGUUCAAUCAUUUUUUAUGUGAUGAGGAUCAAGAAACUUCAGGUUCUGAUCUGAUCAAGGAACUUUGGGUCUUAUAUAUACUUAUCGUAACAAAAGGUAAGUACAAUAAAUAAAUUAAAGCAAUAGGCAGUAAUUCCAGACAUAGUAAAUAAAUUGCAUUUAAGUAAAUAAAGCUUGUGACAAGGGCUUUAAUUUAACACCAUUCAUAUAAAUCAAAACUUAAAGCAGUAGGCAGUAAAACUGUCCAUGAUAAAUAAAUUGCUUUAAAGUAAAUAGAACUUGUGAAAGUGUUUUAAACCAACACCAUUCACAUAAAUAAAUAUAUAUAUAUAUAUAUAUAUAUAUAUAUAUAUUUCUUUCUUUUCUAAUGGUACAAACACCAUCCAAAAGCUUUUAUGUCACAUCCCGGCCUGGGGUGGACCACUUCCCAGGCCCGCUCCACCACCGUAGCACGAUAUUGUCCACUUUGGGCUUACCACGCCCUCACGAUUUUGUUUCUGAGAACUCACGAGCAACUUCCCAAAGGGUCACCCAUCCUGGGAGUGCUCUGGCCUCAUUCUAGCUUAACUUCGGAGUUCCUACGAAACCUAAAGCCAGUGAGCUCCCAAAAGGCCUCGUGCUAGGUAGAGAUGAGAAUAUACAUUUAAGAAUUACUCCCCUAGGUGGGUGAUGUGGGAUGUUACAUUUUAUCUUUUUUGUUUUUAUUAUUUCUUUUUCACAUGUUGUGUCGGCAUUAUGCAACGAGAUUCCACCCUUUUUUCAUAUAGCACCAAAACCCUUUUUAUUAUUUUUCAUUCAAAUGGUGCAGAUGCAUCAUUAGAAACCUUUGUCCAAAAAGUCCACUUUUCCAAUUCUUUUUCACACGGUGCUUGAAACACCAUUCCAUAAUCCUUCCUUCAUUUUUCUUAUCUGUCUGUCUGUACUAGUCUUAAACCCAGGGCCAUUUGGGUUGUUGUGGAGGUCACACAGAACCUAUUCAAUCUAAUAAGGCUACCAGAGACUGGCGUUAUUCUUGCAUGGCCCAGAGAACAUGGCGUCGCAAAGCAAGAACUUCCCUAUAGGGACAUAGAUGACAGCGGAGUUGAUGGAGGUACAAGAGAGGGAGGCAUGUGUGGAGUCAGUCAUGCCAUCACCAUCUCAGACAACCGAUUAUUCAUGGGAGUUCUCGAGAUCUGUCAAAAACGACGCUAUCUGGGUUUCCAAGUCUGAUGAGAUUCUUCUGGAUCUCUGGAACCAAUUGUCAAGUACGAGUUUUCUCAUCUCGUGACGACUUCAGGUCGUUGUAAAUUUCAAUUCUUACUGGAAUUUGGUGGGGCGGGCGCUUCAGGCGCAGUGGAGAGACAGAAAAUGGACAUACCUUUUAUUUAUGUGAUAUUUUGGCUAGCAGAGGUAAGGUAGGUAACGCUUUACCAGAUUUAUGGCGUUGUGCUUUCCAUUGACAUGAGAGCUUUCUCGUGCUGAUAACGUGUUGUAAAAUCGACGGUGGGUGCAGUGGAAUAAAUGAAACAAGACAAAAAAUUUACGAGAUUCCUUUACAGUUAGUGUGACUGGAGUACGUCCUCGGGGCAGCAGUUGUGCUUUCAUUAUAAUUUAGAAUAAUAGGAGUACAAAGAUAACUUUCUCUAUUAUCUCCUAUCCUCUUCCUCUCCUUUCUCUCUUCCUCUCUUUUUCUCUCAUCAUUUCUUCCUUCCUAUCUCUCUGUGAGUCUUCCCACUUUGAUGUUGUGUGGGGUUUGUAUUUGUAUAGAAAAUGGGAGUAGUGUGUAGCAAGCUUCAACAACCAAAAGGAAAGGCCAAUUAUUUAAUUAUUUGAGUGGACAUACACUGUUCUACAACAUAACAUGGUAUUUAGAAAUUUUCCCUUUGAUACAUGUUGGCUACGUGUGCCAACGUGGGACUUCCAGACAUCAUUGAUAAUCUCGGAAGGGAGAAAUUUUUAAUUGUGAUAUGAACAUGAGUGGUACAUCAUGUGUUUUUAUGUAACUGAUGAGAAAUUUUACUUUUUAAGUUAGUAGCUUUUUAACACACAUAUCCCACUAUUUGUAUAAUGACACGUGGUGUACCACCUCGUGUGUUGGUCACAAUGAAAAAUCUAUUGAAGUAAGGGGUAUUUCCCCCUUUUUUUUCUCUCGAAUUCUCUCUAUAAAAAACUAAACCACGGCCGCCACUUUUCUUAUCCCCCAACCGCCGAUCUCGUCACAGUUUGGUAUGAACCAAAUGGAUUUCUUUUUAAAACAAAUCGACAUGACUAUGAAUAUAUCAGCCGACUUGAAGGAUUCGAUGGUCACAUACAUUAUUUGAGUAUAUCAUGUGUGUGUUUUUUUUUUUAUUGGUGAAUUAUCAUGUGUGUGCUUUAAGUAAUAGUUGGAUCACCUGCAAAGAACUCUAUGGUCUCAUUUUCUAGAAAGUAAUGACAACUAUCAUGCAUAAGACUAAGGGCUGGUUUGGUAUUGCUGUGCUUUGAAAAAAAGCUGCUGUGAGAAUAAGCGGCUGUGAAAUAAAGCCAGUAGAGUGUUUGGUAAACUUUUUUGUGAAAGUGCUUUUGAAAAAAAAAGCAGGAUGAUAGUGUGUCUUUUCAUUAAAGGAGCACUGUAACUCCGUGUGCUUUGAAAAAACUGGCUUUUUUUCAAAGCAGCAAAUAGCAGCUUCACCUUUUCCUUUGAUUUUCAGCUUACUCUCACAGCAGCUUCCAAAAUAAGCUUUUUUUUUUUCAGUUUACCAAACACAAAAAUGACCCUCAGCUUUUUUUCACAAUGGUUUUUUUUAAAAUCACCUCAAUCCCAAACGGGGCCUAAAAGCAACCACACAAAAGUCUUUUUAGCCACCCACAAGUCGAAAACUACUAUUGUGCAUGUCACAUAAGCAAAAUUUUCACUCUUCCAACUUUAUAGCCAAUCGUGCAAAUUAUUGGUAAAUUUGACGGUGAUCGCAUUAACCUUCUCUUCAAUGCAUGACAUGUGGAAAAAAUCAUCAUCAAACAGAAGUUUGAUAUUAUGCACGUGUCCCAUCUUUAUUUGCGCGUUUGUGUUUGUUUUUUAUUUCAAUAGGUUGAAGAAAAAAAGCACUGGCUCGAGCAAGAAGGCUGCAAGGGUCCGAACAAGCUUAAGAGGAUUGCAAGUUGCAAGUACCUUCUUCGUUUUCAUGUAUGUUUCACUUUUACUAUAAUUUAGUUUUUCUAGUUAUAAUUGUAUAAAUUUUUCGUUCAAUUUAAUAUAAAGGUUCAGCUCAAAAGUUUAAGAUUAUAAUCCACUUUGUUUCGAUUUUUGAUCUCUUGGUGUUUCAAAGACAAAAAACAACACACGAUCCACAUAUCAAUAAAAGGCUUUUAGUCCAUUCCCAUUUAUAGAAUUUUGCCGACUCUACUGCUGUAAAAGGGGCUUAAUAGUGCAAAAGUACGAAACGAAACAAAAAGAGGAAGGGCGAGAGAGAGAUGCAAUUGGGUAUUUGUCGGAUCGAAGCUCUUCCAUACCCUUCCAUUAUCUCCACCGACUCCUUGACUAAAAGAGAGUGUUUUUUGUCUCAUUUUCUCAUCAUAGCUAAAGCUAGAAAGUAUGUUUCAUAUUUUCCCUGUCCGCAACUGGGAUUAGGAGAAAGAGAUUGAGAGAACAGAGGUUGAUCUAAAUCAUCAAACACAAGCAUAUGCCUGUUUCCAUUUGUCAACUUACAAUUUGAAUAGCUUGGGUAACGAUUAUGUUGACCCUAAAAACUAUCAGGUUUACGUGGCCCACAGACCGAGUAAUUAAUAAGCUAACUACGUCAUUCGGUUAUGUGCAGGGCGUGCCAACUCGACGGCCAAGCUCGAUCGGGGAGUAAAAUGUGUUGUUGUGUUGGGCAUUGCUGACUUCUUGAUCCUGCUAUUGCGGCCGAGGUAGAAACACAUCUAGCCUUUUGGGUUCCAGAGCCUGAAGACACGGCUGCUAGUUCUGUGAGUUCACAAAUCGUCAACGCCGGGUUCGGUCAUGGUGAUUAUAUUCGUAAUAGUAUAACCACACCGAACUAGCACCAGACUAUAUGGACACAAGUACUCGAAAGUGACGUAUGUCUUGAUAGUAAAUGUGGUUCAACCGUCGGAAUGUCGGACUCUGAAUCUCACUUGCGAAUAUCCAAUCAUAAAACAACUCGGCGUUCAAUGUGCCGAGCCUAGUAACCUGUAACACCUCACUUCGUUGAGAAGGUUGAUGAGAUGACCUCUACCAGCAAGAACUCGAAAGUCACUAUCGACCGGGACUUGGAUAAAUAACCAGUAGGUCUCGAAGCAGUGCUGUUUAUCCAAACUGAAGGAGGUUCUCCUCGGUCGGUUGAUUCUACGGCUCCAGUACUGUGCUACAUUGGUUCUGUUAAUAAAGCUUCUUGGUUUCGGUGUUGUGCAGGUUGAAUGGUAAGAAGAUGUUGAGAUUGUUGACGGGGAAGCGUCUGGUUUUUGUUGGCGAUUCUCUCAACAGGAACAUGUGGGAGUCUUUGCUAUGUGUUCUUAGAAACUCAGUGGAUGAUAAGAACAAAGUCUAUGAAGUUUCUGGUAGGCAAGAAUUUCGCACAGAGGGCUCUUACUCCUUUGUUUUCGAGGUAUGUUAGUUUCAAUUUCAUAGACUCAUAAAUUCUUCCUUCUUACCUUUCGGCCUUGUUCAUCUUAUUAAGUAAUAUUAAUGUAUUUGUUGUUCAAUGGAUCAAUAGGAGUACAACUGUUCCGUGGAGUUCUUUCAAUCACGGUUUCUAGUUCAAGAAUGGGAGAUGCUGGAACCAAGUGGAUCAAAGAAGGAAACGCUUCGCAUUGAUUUGAUUGAGAGAUCCUCUGACAACUACAAAAAUGCAGAUGUUCUCAUCUUCAACACAGGUCACUGGUAGACUCAUGAGAAAACUUCCAGCGGGUAAUUCUCCUGCUCCAAUUCACUCUAUGUCAUGGAUUUUUUGGAAAGUAGUCACUAGGCAGCGAAGUUAAAAUAUUUAUAAAUCUUGCAGGAAGGGUUACUAUCAAGAGGGUAGCCAUAUUUAUGGUGAACUGAAUGUUGACGAUGCAUUUCGCAAGGCUUUAACGACAUGGGCUCGAUGGAUAGACACCAAUGUAAAUCCUAAGAAAACUGCUGUUUUCUUCCGGGGCUAUUCACCUUCUCACUUUAGGUACAUUUUGAAGACAUGAAAUACUUCAACUUGGUUAACAAAUGUAUUGCAUCUUGCUAAUCUUUUUACUCACAGAGGCGGAGCAUGGAAUUCUGGAGGGCAUUGCCAUGGCGAAACAAAGCCAACUACCAGCUUGGAAUCCACGGAAUAUGGAGGAGCGUAUCCAACAAACAUGAAAAUCUUUGACUCGGUACUCAAGGGGAUGAAGACGCCAGUCAACUAUCUGAACAUUACAACAAUGACUGAUUUUCGGAAGGAUGCUCAUCCAUCGAUUUACAGAAAGCCGAAUUUAACUGAGGAGGAGCGAAAACCGCCUAUGAUCCACGAUUGCAGUCACUGGUGCCUCCCUGGCGUUCCUGAUACAUGGAACGUGCUAAUAUAUGCUCAACUCCUCAAACAUAACCAGAAACAACAUAGACAGAAGAAACAGCAAAAUCAGAGGACAACUUCUUAAAUAUGGAGAAAAAAAAUUAUAAAGUAUACAUGUUUUGUUGGAAAGCUCACCGUACGGAGAAUAUCGAACAAGUAUGAUCAAACGAAGGAUAAGAGCAAUAGUUGUAGACUUGUAGUUAGAAAAAGAGAUGGCGCAAUGUGGUUUAGUGAAAAAUUGUGUUUCCAGUUGUGGGAUAGAGGUGGUGAGGGAAACAGGAUUUAGCCCUUGCGUCCUCUCUGGUGCAUUUGAAGGAGAGGCUUGAAAAAUCGGUGACUCGAAACAGCGAGUGCCGGUGAUCAUGGUGGUCGCAGAAGCUGGUUUUGGUAUUGAGAAGGUCAUGAAUAUAAAAUUCUGGUAUGGUACUGGUUUAACGCCACAAUGUGCAGUUGUGGUUGCAACUUUAAGAGCCUUAAAAUGCCUGCAUGACUGAGACUGUGGCUGAAGCCGGUUACAUGAAAUUUUCCAGGCAUGUCUCAAACACGAAACACUAGAGUGUAAGCGUGGUUGUUACUGCAAACAAAUUUUCGAUUGAUAGUGAAGCAGAACUAAAUGCAGUCAGAAAUAUGCAGCAUUGUGCAGCCGGGGCAUAUGAGCACUUAAUUAUACUCAUCAUGCACUUUGUGGAAAAGAAGCGGUUAGUCACUUCAUCCCAUUAGUCUUAUUAUUGGCAAUAGGAAUUGGACAUCAAUUUCUUGUAUCCGAAGAAAUGAGUCACUAUUAAUAUCGACACAUAUGAGAUCGCCAGCCCUUCGGGAGUUCCUCUAUUUUCUUCUUGCUUGCAAUUGCCUUCGCCUAUGAGCGGUAGGUCUCGGGUUCGAGACUUGGGAGCAGCUUCUCCAUAAAUGGGGGUAAGGCUAGCCGACAUUCACCUCUCUCAGACCUUGUGUAAAGCGGGAGCCUUGUGCACUGGGUACGACCUUUUGCAUUGCAGAUCCUACUAAAACUUUCAAUCCCAGUUUUAUACUGUGGUUGGAACAACGAGCACAAUGCCGGAUUUUCUGACUAGGCCUCGCUUCUAUCACAUUGAUCUUGACACCACCUAUCGGAAAUUAGGUUAUCAGUCUUGCUUGAAAAUCAAUGUAUAUGGCUCUCAUAUGCUCACCGAAGCAACAUUUUCCGACGUCCAUCAAACAAAAGCCGGCCACCAUCUCUUCCCCCUUACAAAUUACACUUCUGCAAACUUCUGUUAUUGUGCUCUUUGAUUGUUAUGUCAGUUUUUUGCAUUACCAAAUAACAAUGUCACAAAUAAAAACAAAUUUUUGUGUCACCUUUUUUAGCUUGCUACGUACAAAUGCUGUUAAAAUUUUACCACAUUAUAAUUUCCUCUUUCAAACAUUGACUCCACUCUUUUUUUAACUAUUAUUAAGGAGAGAGAAGACUCGAAACUAUUACAUUAAUUUAAGAGAUGUGGAGUUUCAAACCCGAAAUGCAUGUAGGGUUGGAAGCUUCUCGGGUUCGAAACAUCGAAUCCACUCUGCAUGCCACUUUUACUACGAAAAAGGGAACCACUUUAAUUUUGUUUUAUUAUCAUUCUUGGCUGUUCAUGAUUUCACUUUAACUACAUAACAUUUAAUUGAUAAUUACUCAAAUCAUAAAAAUAUUGGUUCAGUGUUAGAACAUUUAUCUUGGUAUUCUAAUGAAAGAAAAAAAUAAUUGAACUCAUACUGCUAUCAUAUUUAUGAUAUGGAUAAGUGUGUAUAAUACCUGUAUAUAGAAAUCAGACAACUUAAAUUUAAUAUUUAUAACACUACUGAUACACUAAUGUGAGUUUACUUCGUUAAUAUCACACUUAUGAGCGUAAUAUAUCACAAUCAUAAGUUCAAUAUAUUGCUAUCAAACUCAAUUUUUUUGACCAACUGCAAUGCAAGAGUGUGACUCCUAUAUAUGUAAAUAUAGGGAUGUGAUAUCUACACACCAUUUUUUACUUCUCUCACACCCUUUUAAUUUUCGGCCGUCGGAUCGGAUGAAUUGAAGAAGAUUAAAGGACAAAAAUUAACAAGAGGUGUGAUACCCUGUAAAUAAAAAAAGGUGUGAUAAGAUUGUUAAUAAAUGGAUAUACUGUUAUAAACGAAUGAAUUGGUAAAAUUAUCAAAUAAUGUGUGGUCACGCAAAAAAAUUACUCCAAAUCAAAGUGAGAGGGACGUGAGAUAUUUUUCUUACAAAAAAAAAAAAAAAUAUGCCACUUGUUCAUAAAUUAUUAUUACAUCUGCAUUUGUUUUUUAUGUUCAAUUACAUCUGCAUUCUUAUAUUCAAAAAUAGCAACUUUCAACCGUGCAAGUAGACUAAAGGUUGAUUUGAUAUUGCUGUUAUUUGAAAAAAAAUUACUUCUGUUGUAUUGUGAGAAUAAAUAGUUGUGAAAUAAAGCAGUGUUUGGUAAACUUUUUUUGUAAAACUGCUUUUGAAAAAAAAAGCAGUAUUAUAGUAUUUAAUAAACUUUUAUGUAAAACAGAUAUAAAAAAAAGUUGAUUUUUCAAAGUUGGGUUUUACAGCUUUGUGUUUUUGAUUUUUUUUCCACUCAAAACUGUAAAAAAAAACAAAAACCAAAUGUUUACCAAAUAUAAAAACAUUUUUUUAUAGCCAUUUUUUUUCACAAUUACCUCAAUACAAAGAGCUAACCACCAAACUGAAAAGUGGUCUUCACAGCAGAAACUGUAUGGAAAAUUAAUUCUUCCACCCACACAGGUCACAGGCUCGCAAACAAUGGCGGAUUACUCAACCCAGACAACCCCAAAACCCACAAAGCACCACCACUCCCCCACAAUCCCAAGACCAGAGGCCUUCUCCAAGCCCUCUCUUUCUUCCCCAAUCUUCUUCCCCUCCAGAAGAACCGCCGCCUUUGCCUAUGGCUUCUCGUUCGUCUGCAUCGCUUGCACUUUCUUCCUGGUUUUCAACCCAUCUGGCUACUCUUUCCCUUUCGGCUUCAAGAACAUCUUCAAAACCCCUUUUGAACUUUCCCGGGAAACCCCAUUUUCCUGGAAAGCUGAAUAUUUCCCGCGUUUGGAUGAGAGUGUAGGUUUGCAGUCUGAUAUGGCUAGUGCCCAACUGCCGAACCCAAUUCUUUUCUUGCCCCAAGAAUCCAAUCAGACUUUGUCCCAGAACACUACGAUUCAAGUAACUGGGAAAAUGGGAUUUUCCGGGAAACUGGAGGGUUCAAGAAAAAAUGAAUCUUUUGCUAAAGAUUCUGAUGGGGUUUUGGGGCAAGCAGUGGCAUUGACCUCGAAAGAGAGUGAUGAUGCUAGUGAGGCAUUGUCUGAAUCUGAGAAGCAGAGCAAUCAAACUCAGCCCGGUUAUGAAUUUUCGAGGGAUGAUUGUGACCUGUUUGAUGGAAUGUGGGUGAGAGAUGAUUCGUAUCCGCUUUAUGCUCCGGGUUCUUGUCCUCUUAUUGAUGAAUCCUUCAAUUGUUUUCUUAAUAAGAGGCCGGAUAAUCGCUACGAAAAGUAUAGAUGGCAACCCAAACAUUGCAAUCUUCCAAGGUGCAGGGCUGUUUUUACUUCUGAUUUAAAAGCAUGUUUUGUUUGUACAUUGCAUUGCAUUUGGUUUUGCUUCUAAAAAAGGUCGUACCCAGUGCACAAGGCUCCCGCUUUACGCAGGGUCUGGGAAAGGUGAAUGUCGGCUAGCCUUACCCCCAUUUGGUUUUGCUUCUAAAUUAAGGUAAUUUUGCAUGACUAGUUCGACUUCUAAAGUUAGCAGUUUUAGGAAUUUGUGCUUGUUAUGGUUGUUUUUCAUAAGUGCAAAUUUACUUGUUUGCAAAUUAAUCUUGUGAGGAUCAAUAUAACAAUUACUUGUUAUGACAGUUUAAAAUUCACACUGAAUUUCUGUUUUUAAAAACAACGGAGUUUCGUUGUGUGUACUAAUGUGUCUGCGUGUGUAUGUUUAUGUUUUAUGCUUAUGCAUUCGUGUAUUGUUUUUGUUGAAUAAAGCUUGUUGGUUCAGAUUUGGUGAUGCCGGUUUCUGGUGAACUUUUUGUGCAGGUUGGAUGGUAAGAACAUGUUGGGACUAUUGAGAGGAAAGCGACUGGUUUUUGUUGGGGAUUCUCUUAAUAGGAAUAUGUGGGAGUCUUUGCUUUGUCUUCUUCGAAAUUCAGUGGAUGAUAAAAGUGGAGUUGUUGAAGCGUUGGGUAGGAGCGAAUUUCGUUCAGAGGGAUCUUACUCUUUCGUAUUCAAGGUAUGUUCGCUAUCUUGGAAUUCAAGGUAUGUUCUCUGACUUCGAAUUCAUAGCCUGAUAAAUUCUUCCUUCUCUCCAUUGGAUUUGUGUCGUUGCUGAAUUUCAUUUUGACCAGAGUGAAUUAGAUAGUUCACAACACUAGACCAGAUAUAAUUUGCUAAUGACUUGAGAAUUCAAACAAGUAGAAAUAUUUACGUGUUUUUUUUUUUCUGGAGUGGAUGAAUAGGAGUACAAUUGCUCAGUGGAAUUCUUUCGAUCGCCAUUUCUAGUUCAAGAAUGGGAGAUGGCAGAUGCAAAUGGAUCAAUAAAGGAAACGCUUCGCCUUGAUUUGAUUGAGAGAUCCUCCGAUAAGUACACAAAACUGCAGAUGUUCUCAUCUUCAACACAGGUCACUGGUGGACUCAUGAGAAAACUUCCAGAGGGUAAAACUCAUUCUCCCUCUCACUCUAUGUCAUUAAUUAAUUUUCGGAACUCGGAAAUACUAAACGAAUAUAAGAAUCUUGCAGGAAGGGUUACUAUCAAGAGGGUAGCUACAUCUACGAUGUAUUGAACGUUAAAGAGGCAUUUCGGAAAGCUUUAACAACAUGGGCAAGAUGGGUGGAUACCAACAUAAAUCCUGAGAAAACUAUUGUUUUCUUCCGGGGCUUUUCACCUAAUCACUUUAGGUACAUAGACCACAUCCAGUACUUUUUAACUUUUAAAACCUCACGGUUCGUUCACAAAUAUACAGCAUCUUCAUAAACCUUUUACCCUUUGCAGAGGUGGAAGAUGGAAUUCGGGAGGGCAAUGCCAUGAUCUAAUAGAGCCACUUGCAAAGGAGACAAAUAGAGGAAAAUAUGCAUCAAAAUUGAGAAUAUUUGACUCAGUAAUCACUGGAAUGAAGACGCCAAUAUUCUAUCUAAACAUUACGAGAAUGACUGAUUUCAGGAGGGAUGCUCAUCCAUCGAUUUACAGAAAGCAGAAUUUUACAGAGGAGGAGCGGAAAUCGCCUUUGAGACACCAGGAUUGCAGUCACUGGUGCCUCCCUGGUGUUCCUGAUACAUGGAAUGAGCUUCUAUAUGCUCAGCUCGUUCGACAUAACCAGAAGCAACAACAACAGCAGCGUCAAGACCCACAGCGACAGAAACCCUAGAUAAAUGAUUAGACAGAUGCCUUGUAUAGAUGGGAUCAUGUCAAAAUAGUUUUGGAGAAAAUGUUUUCUGUUGCAUCUUUCUAUAGGAUUGUAGGAGGAAACAAAAUGAUGUGAUAUUCUUUGUAAAAUUGAGUCUCGGUAAUAUAAGCUGAUAAUAUCUUUUUGUGCAAAUGGAAGUAAGAUGAUAAUUGUGAGUUCUGUCAUAUGAGUUAGAAGAUGAGAUCGUUGCUCUCGUAGCCAUGGUCGUCACAACCAUCAUACGAAGCAAAAGCUUAACUAGGUUUACGAUUACACAACCAUAAUUAUUUCAAAUAAUGCUCAACACCAGAGUAGCAGAUGAUCCAUAUGUACGGUGUUAAAUGAACAAACUGUUCCACACGAAGCAAGUGAAUGAGAUCAGUCGGUAGACUCAGCACAGCCUUAGGAGAAAGGCUUAACUACCACCAAAUAGGCGAUCGUGAUGGUAUUUCAAACUAAUUUCGCACUACAUGUGAGCGAUCGAUAUUUAUUUAGAAAAUAGUCAUAAUGGCGUACACGUUGUAGCUGUAAGUCCUUCUCCACCCCCGUGCAAAGAACACGUGAAAUAUGCAUAUAUGAAUCUCUGCGGUGUGAAGGAAACAAAAUGCUCCAAUGAAGCAAGUGAGAUCACUCAGCACGGCCCAGGAAGAAAGACAACUACACCGAUUGUGCACAUCUGAUCUGACCAUUGUUUUAAUUUAAUUUGUAGAAAUGAAACUAGGGUCUUCAAAAAUUGAGGAAUAUUCAGCAGCAUAAAGGUGAUGUUACCACUAGUUGUAGAAACAUGGGGGUCUUUGGAUUGUUUGAUGGAUGUGUUUUGAGUCAAACAAUUACUAGAAGAGCAUAGAAUUUCCGUUAUGUUGGUUUAUGAUGAUCUUCUUUUGCAGGUUGGAUGGUAAGAACAUAAUGGGAUUAUAGUGAGGAAAGCGCCUAGUUUUUGUUGGUGCGUGAUUCUCUUUGAGGGAAUAUGUUAGAUCAUCCAUCGGUCUGUGUCUUGUUAGAAGUUCAUUGGAUGAUAAGAGCGGAGUUGUUGAAGCCUCUCGUAGGAGCAAAUUUCGUACACAAGGAUCUUGCUCGUUCAUAUUCAUGGUAUGUUGUUGAGUUGUUCAUUAGCCAUUUCGUUACAAGCAGAGUGAAUGAGAAAGUUCGCACCACUGGAUACAAUUUGCUAUGACUUGAGAUUUCCAAUUCAAACAAGUAGAAAUUUAUGUUUGUAGUGGAAUGGAUCGAUAGGAGUAUAACCGUUCGUUGUAAUUCCUUUAAUCACCAUUUCUAGUUCAAGACUAGGAGAUGCCUCCUAGUUAACUGAGCUUUCUUCUGCCAUUCUUUGUAAGCUGAAAGAAACUCAAGAACAAGGACAUGCAGAGACUGGCCUGAGGAUACCCGCUCUGAUACCAUGUGGAAAAAUGAUAAAAGUGUGUGUGCGCGUGUAUAUAUAUUCAAUAACAUUUCAAUUAUACGUCACACAGAUUGGAGGACGUUUAAGUAGCAACAAGGAGAAGAUGUACACACCACAACUUUCUCCUUUAGUUAAACCUUGACUGCGGGAUUUGUCUAAGCAACAAACAUCCAUGAAUUAAGGCAAAUGAUUUCGGGAGUAAGAGUGAAACAAAGAAAACCCGAGUUUCCAUGAUAUAAGCUGAUAAUAUAUAUCUUCUUCAAAUAUAUGUGGUUGAUUAUAGUGAAUUCGAUCUGUCUUUUUUCAAGUUUACCGAGAAAAGUGGACUAGUAGCCAUAGAAGCUCAAAGAUGAGCUCGGUACUUGUAGUAAUGAUCAUCACCAUCAUCACAUGAAGCAUCAAGCUUAACUAGUUUUACAUAACCUUAAUUAAUUUAAUUAAUAUUCAGCUACCAAAGUAGCAGCUGGUCCAUAUGAAUCUCCAUUAACCCUACGGCAGUUCAAUCGAAUCUCUCCAUCAGUACCGGUCAAGGGGCUUAUAUUCCCCAUUUUAAUCAUGGAUUCCACGAAACUCUCAAAGAAUGCGCUCUGAUUAGUGCUGAAGUUGUUAACAAUGUCGGUGGUAUCAGCCCCGCUAGUUGAAAACAGCUCUUGAUCGCUUUGGAGCAAGCCUUUCUGGACUUGAAGAUUCGAGAAAUACUUUGCAUCAAAAGUGUCGGGCGUUACAGGAUCCAAAUUGGCUAGCACACUGCUAUUCCCAUUCUGCGGGCAUAUCUCACUCAGUGUUUGUAAGUAGGUUGAGUUCAAGGUUGGAUCAGGACUGCCUGUGCCGCUGAAGUUAUACAAUCGAUUGGUGAAAGAUUGACAUCUAGCACGCCCAAAUGUGUGAGCACCUGUCAAUUUUGCAUGUCAAAUUUUGUUAAUAUAAAGUAAAGCAACAUAGUGAGGAUAUUUUUUUUUUUGUAGCCGUGCGAUCUGCUUGCUUACCAGAUAGUGCAACCAGAUCAGUGGUGUUGAGGCCUACAGCUAAGAAGUUGGCCUUGAGUCCAUCAAGUGUUAAAGUAGGAGCUGGAAUGGCUGCGUUGGCAGCCGUGCGGUUCGCUGUUGUGCUAUCCCUUCUUCCCAGUAGCACUGUCCAUGAAGGACCUCCAGACUGUAACCAUAGAUUAAUUACUCAAUUACAAUAUCUCACGAAACAAAUGCUUUAAAUUGUUGUUGAAGCUUGAAAUAUAUACCAAAGCAACAGAUUCUUCGGCAGCAAUGGUGAGAAUAUCAGCACAGGAAACGAUGGCGGGACAAGCAUUCUCCAAUGCAGUCUUGAUACUGUCCACAACAUCAAAUCCUCUGGCUGAGUUGUUAUUUGCAAAUGCUGUUUUUUCGCUGUCUAUGGUACUGGUAGAACUGGUACUAUUGUCCAACAGAAUUGAUCCAUCGCAACCCUGAAAUAGAAUCAACAAGUUCUUUUCAUCUCAAAAUUGCACGUUUGGAAUUUUACUUCUUCUGAAGUUCUAUAAACAAAGAAGCAGCUGCUAAUAAAAGCACUUUUGUGCUUGGGCAUUGUUCCGAAGUCCUGUAACAUAGAAGCUGCCAUAUAUACAAAGUAAUCUUGAUUGGUAUUUCAAAGUUGAAUAUGUUGCUCAGCUUAAAUCUUUGAAUAACUAAAGCAUUGCAUCUGAUACUAUGAUAUAUUUUCAGGGAAAUUAUUAUUAAUUCCAUAUGGAUAAAAGGAAAAGAAAACAUGGGCAGAUCUUUUUGUGCUCCAACUACAAGUUCUAUUGCUACAAUUGAAUUAAAAGGGUUCUUUACAACUACGCCAGUCAAAACUGUUGAGAAUGAGUCUCAUAUUGAUGGAAUGAAGGAUAUUGCAUGAGCUUAUAAGUAAGUUGGUUUAUUCCCCAUAUUACCAAUUAGUUUUAUGAUAGAACCUUAACUUUCUUAAAAAGCUAUCUUAAAUAGUCAAAACACGUAAAUCUCCUUGCACUAUACACUAAAUAAGCAUAAUACCAUAAAUCGUACUGGUGCACUGACUACUGAGGCCAUUCUUAAAACCAAAAUGCUGGACUGGAAUUCGUGAUAAGAACACCGGCCAAAGAAAGAUUUAUAACAAACAAAGGGAUCAGAAGCAAAGAAGUGAAUUAUACGUUGACGAAGCAAUCGUGGAAGUGAAGUCGAAUGAGGCUGGCAGCAAUCCGGGGAUCGGUCUGCAGAGCCUCUUGAAUGACUCCACGCACAAUGCUGGUGGCAUUCGGGCAUGAUGCAUCAUAAAACGUAGGAGUCAACUGAGCAUCACCACAUCCUGCACUUGCACACAAGAUUAGUAAGAUUACAAAAAUAUAUUUGUAACAAAAUUGAGCGCUACAAGAAGAAGGCAUCUUCUUAGGUGGUAAUCGAUUUUUCUAACUUAUGUUCC
RNAcentral lists this long non-coding RNA (21239 nucleotides) under Malus domestica (apple). RNAcentral describes it as "long non-coding RNA (MDOM_LNC002291)". Lineage: Eukaryota; Viridiplantae; Streptophyta; Magnoliopsida; Rosales; Rosaceae. The record is from RNAcentral.